AACGGAUCUUGCCGAGAAUGCAAGCCUCAUUCCAAGGAAGCCAGAGCUCAGAAGACAUGGAACAAAUACAAUGAAAACAUAACUUGAGGUCGGAAAAUGUCCCCUGAAUAUUUAUGUCAAUGUCCUACCUUAGUGAAUAUUACUUAAUACUGUGGCUCCUUUAAAGCAUUGUGAUUUCAUUAUGAAGUCAGAUGGAAUGAGGAGUGUGUAAAUCCAGAAUCAGAAUCCCAGCGACGAAGCUUUUCUUGCUCUGUUACCUUGGAAAAUGCUUUGAACCAGACCAGAUAAGAAAAGUAAAAGUCUGGAGUGUAAUCCUUCCAAUUGUCUUUUGGCUUCUCUUCUACUUCUACAAAAAGUUCAACAAGUCGGUGGGCAGAAGUCUAAAAUCAAGGUGUCAGCAGUGUGGAAUCCUUCUGGAGGCUUUGAGGUACUCGACUGUGGUUCAAUCUCCAGACCUAGAACAGGAAUAGAAGCAAAGGGAUUUUCAAUAUAAAUAUUAGUUGAAUGAAGAGGACACUGAAGCCAAAGGAGAAAAUUAACUAGCUCAGUCUUGCAUGACCCCUGUGAAUGGACUGAUCUUGAAACCCAG
RNAcentral lists this long non-coding RNA (589 nucleotides) under Homo sapiens (human). Its description in RNAcentral is "HSALNT0354571". The record is from RNAcentral. Lineage: Eukaryota; Metazoa; Chordata; Mammalia; Primates; Hominidae.